ACCGCACGUUUGACUGGUCUUUUGUCUGCACCCGCCCCCAGAUGCGCCACCACAGCGCUCUCCGAGUUUUCACAACACGAUGGCUUCUCAAGCAUUCAGUCCCUCAGUAGCCCCGCAGAGGUUUCCGGCCCUGGUGGGUGGUGGGGGCUGCUCGGCCGGCUCCUCCUUGCUCCCCGUGGCCCUUGUGCAUGACUGGAGAGUCACAGAACCAAGGAAGUAAGACAGUUUGAAAACCACAGCUCUUGAGAACGUACGGGGCUUGGUGAGAACUCAGUUCUCAGCUAGAUCGAUGUCCUUGUGGCGAAUUACAAGGAGUCCAUAAACGCUGCCUCAACGUACUCGCUAAAACAGGCUGGUAGCCGUGCAUCUCUCCUCAUGAUUCUGUGGCUGUCCCGUUGGAGGCACACCGUGCUGGGGUUCGGCGUGAGCUUUCACGGGAACCUGGCCUUCGGAGCCACCCCCGGCUUCCCGUCCUUACUCGGGCAAGACGCGCACGUUACACGGGCUCCGGGGUCUUGAGGUUUGAGGAGGUCGGGAGAGGCCGACGGGGACUCCCACUUCUGCAGCCAAAAACAUUAAACUCCCGCAGAAAGCAAAGCUCUCAGGGCUGGUGUUUUGUCUCACUCCACACCCUGGCAAAGAACAGGUGAGAGUUUUGGAGGCUUCCUUCCUUCCUAUCCAGCCUGCUGGGACGAAAGCAGUGUGAACAUUUGUGGGGAAAAAUCACACCAGAUUGGAGUCUCGAGAAUCGGGGUGAAGCGAGUGCCAACAGAAUCCGGGGACAGAAUAACGGUGGCUGGAUGCGGACCCACGGGCGGGACUUCCCUAGCGGCGGAGUCAGCUGUCCUUCCCAGCCUCCCAUCGGUUACGUCCAAGGCGGCAGCCUCAUACACGGGCACACAAGCACACUCACUUUGAAAUACUCCUCCUCGCCGGUCUUUUCCGAAAGAGGAAUCGCCCGAAUGCCCGAUCUUGUUUCCUGUGUGUAAGCGUGGGUGCCACAUCCAAGCUAAGAAAACUCCAAGAAAGAGAGCAGACCCCGAAACGUGAGCUGGGAGGUCAUGCUGUGAAGUUGCCGAAAGCCCCCCUGGAUCAGUGACAGGAGCGCAGAGAGCAAACACACGUGCUGGUGCCCCUCUUGUAGCAGACAGAACGUCAGAGAGCUUGACGUGAAAGCGAAGAAAAGCCAUCAUCUGUGUGGUCGUCUGAUCGGCCAGUACUUUACGGAUCAGACCAGACAGCGCCCAGGCUCAGUGGAUCUCAAAACUGAACCAGGGACUUCUCCCAAGCCCUUGUCCGGCGGGUGUGGGGACGACCUUCCUUCUUAUGGCUAAAGACAUUCCACUGUACGGACAGACCACGGCUUGUUUAUCUGUUGAUGGGCAUUGGGUUGUUUCUGCCCUUUGGCUGUCUUGAGCAGCGCGGCAAGAACCUUCUGCGGGGAGCCCAGAGCCGGACAAAGAGGCCGCCCGUUGUGUGAUUCCAUUAACACGAAAUGUCCUGAAUAAAUGAGUUCACAGAAAGGGACGGCUGUUUGCUGGCUCCCCAGGCCGGGGGAGGGCGUUGGGGAGCAAAUUUAUGUGAAUUUCACCCCAGUACAGUUUUUAAAAAAAAAACAAACAAAACCCAAAUGGAAAUGAAUCCUCUGGAACAGCAGCUCUCAAAGAUUCAUGGGGUAGGAAGGUUGAUGAGAGGUGGGCAUGAAUCCCACGUGUGGUAAAUAGAAGUAACCCUAAGAUAUGUUCAGAAGACACGGACAGGUGUUUGGCUGUGGGCGGGGCUGGAGCACUGGCUGGGGGUCCUCGCGGUCUGGAGGCCAAGAGGCCGCCCGCUUUGCUGGUCUCUUCAUCGUGGAGACGCCAUCAUCACCGGGAUUUUUCUGUAUUUAUCAGCCUUGCUGCUCGUGGCCCACCUGAGAACACCAGCCACGCUCCAGACAGACAGCCUGGAUGGCCUCGGGACAGCGGCUCUCUCCACGCAAAAUCAAGUCGGCACUCAAAGCCACGUGGAGAAUCACACUUUUACAAUGUAGACUUGAAGGCAUUUACCGAGCAAACCGCUAACAUUUUUUAAACAGCCAUUGAGAAAUGUGUCGUGCCGUCUUGAGUUUAAGACGGCAGGUCCUAUAGAGGACCUGUUCCAAGGUGGUGCUUUCCCCGCUCAGGGCCGGCGAGCGGCCCUGCCUGGGGAGUGUAGGGAGGCCCUGCUUUCUCCGGGUACCACUCCUCAGGCAUCACGAACACAGCGCUCCAGGGCCAGUAGGAAGGUCUAGCUUCACCAGUUUCUCAUGACGUUCAAAGAGAUUUUUCACAAAGGGAUUCGUGGACCCUGUUUUUCACACCCUUCAGGAUAUCACGAGGUCCUGGAGGGCAAGUUAGGAACCACCCAGUUUUCCUAGGAAUAUUCCAGAAGAAUAGGCAGCUCCCCCCUGAUGCAUACACUCCAUCACCACCACCCGUGACUUUGCAACGUCUGUCCUGAUGUGGAUCCACGCGGAUUCGGUGUAGAGCCCUGGCCCCCGUCCUCUGGCUGAAGAUGCGUCCUGUAGACCAACAUCAGACGGUCUUUCUUCCUUUCCCAGAAUUUUGGUUUUGUGAUUUCAAACUCCAGGCUGGGAGACUGGACAAGGGGCGUGUCCGGAACCACUCUCUGGAAAGCAUCGGCAGAUGUGGUACCAACAUUUCACAAAGACUCUCUCACCAGUAGAAAGGGCUCCUUCUUCACGGAUCCUCUGCGCGUGGCAUGGAGGUGGGGAGAGGGGGCAUCGUGUGUGCCAGAUUCCCUGUUACCGGGAGAGACCGGAGAGCUUCCCCCAGAAGCCCUGAGUGUCAGCACUGACAUCUGGGUCUCCUCCUCAAAAACCAGUGCACUCUUCCACCAGGAAUACAUUUACUGCCCCAGAAAGCGGGUCUCAGGCUGAGGGCAGGUGCACAGUGCUCCCUGAUGAAUGUAAAGGUGACAUCGAAAUGAUGAGGGCCCCCUCAGUAUGAAAGCAAAGCGUCUGGCCGGAAUUAAUUAUUUAUUACCUUUGUUCAGAGUAUUUUUCUCUGCCAAAAGUGCAAACACUUCCCCAGAAAACGGAGGCAAUAUUGCAGUAUCUGCCCUGGGGCUUGGCAAAUAAAAGUACAUUUAAAAAGCCAGAGUCCCCACUCACUUUCCCAUUGCCCCUGCUUCUAAAUACCACGCCGCCAGCUCUAAAUAGAAAAAUAAAUAUUUGCAGAUUAAAGGUUUCAUUUUAUUGCAAAUAUUCAUGAAGAUUAAAUGUCAUUUUAAUCACAUGUUAGUUUAUUUCUCCGGGCGCAUCACGCUGGCGUCUCCUCGCUCACUGCGGGGAAAUGUGCGUUCCUGGCACCAGCUGGGGCCUAUUUACCAUUUGUUCUCGGCCGCGUGAGCGCGCGGCUCCUUGAAUCAGAAAAUAUAGAUCGUCGCCGACUAAUUGGUGUUCACGGAUGGAAACUUCCAAGCCGGAGCCGCAGAGAUGCUGAGAUGCCGCUGUAGCAAAAUGCCUUUUCCCCCAUCGGGGAGGUGGCCCGACCCCGGGGCCGUGGCCGCUCAGCUCUGGGGGGGCCGGGCAGGGAUAGGGCAACACACUUCAGGCCUCGGCUUUGAAUCCAGCCGAGAAUUCCUUCCCCAGGGGAGAGCUGGGAAUGCCCAUUCCUCUCCGAGGAGAAGUGGCAAGAGACCCCAGCAAACGGGCCAUCCGGCAAAUGCCCGUGUGGCCUGCUCUUCUGGUUCAAGGUUCCUGGAAGGAACGUUUCCUGCACCUGCACCUUAGAAUGAAUAAAAUGUGUCCUUGUUUGCUGUUC
Long non-coding RNA from Leopardus geoffroyi (Geoffroy's cat), 3806 nucleotides. RefSeq lists it as uncharacterized. NCBI's taxonomy places the organism in Eukaryota, Metazoa, Chordata, Mammalia, Carnivora, Felidae. The record is from RefSeq and is a predicted model, not a curated record. The transcript has 2 exons.